ACCAUUGUGGUUCAUAACCCAACAUCUUGCUGAUAGUGAGUGGCAAUCAAAUUCACUUUUGGGAGAUUCUCUCCAUCAAGGGUUCCACUCGUUCUCCUUCUGCUACAGUCCUAAAAGGACCUGAAAUGGGGUGACUCUUAUUGCCAAUCCUGCGAUCAUUACUGAUCUCCCGAAACAGAGGAGAGACCCAGAACUAAUUACAAAGGAGCAGAGGCAACCUACGUAAGAAAGCCCGGUCCUUACACUUUGAAGCC
This 254-nucleotide long non-coding RNA is filed under the name Capra hircus (goat). Its description in RNAcentral is "lncRNA (ENSCHIG00010011328.1)". The record is from RNAcentral. Lineage: Eukaryota; Metazoa; Chordata; Mammalia; Artiodactyla; Bovidae.